This 116-nucleotide ribosomal RNA is filed under the name Bacillus subtilis. Lineage: Bacteria; Bacillati; Bacillota; Bacilli; Caryophanales; Bacillaceae. The record is from RNAcentral. RNAcentral also lists the same sequence under 2 other names.
UUUGGUGGCGAUAGCGAAGAGGUCACACCCGUUCCCAUACCGAACACGGAAGUUAAGCUCUUCAGCGCCGAUGGUAGUCGGGGCUUUCCCCCUGUGAGAGUAGGACGUCGCCAAGC